GUUUUAAAACUUGUUAUUUUUAAUUCGCGCACCAUUCUAUUAUCGAUGUACCAAAAUAACCCAAAAGGCAGUGAUCUCGUGUUAAUUGUCGAGCUCAAAGACAAAAAUUACGCACUCAAUCUUUCCGGCCAAUUCGAGAUUCCAGCGACGAGGUGCUUCAAUGACCAACUAAUGACUUCGCCAUUUUGCGACAAUUGAUGUAUUCGAGGUAUGACCCGAGGUGGUUGGAGGUGGUCGGAAGUGUUUAAGGGAGGUUGCGGGGGAUCGAGGUGGAUGAGGAGAAGAACGGAAAGGAGGAGGAGGAGAUAGAUGAGGAGAAAAAAGUGGACGAGGAGGACGAGG
Neodiprion virginianus is the source of this 342-nucleotide long non-coding RNA. RefSeq lists it as uncharacterized. NCBI's taxonomy places the organism in Eukaryota, Metazoa, Arthropoda, Insecta, Hymenoptera, Diprionidae. The transcript is spliced from 3 exons. The record is from RefSeq and is a predicted model, not a curated record.